AUGAAGACCACAACGACUCUUUGUUUUCAAGUCUAUACACGUCAUCCACAUUUUAAGAAAAAUGAACUGGACACGAUUUUUACCCUUGGUGGAAUUCAAAAUAUGUCUUAUAUAUGGCUGCAUUACACACCUGCCCAGAACUCAGUGGCAAAACAACCACUACCACCAUUUUAUCAUAUCUCAGGAUGAGUGGUAGGAAUUCCUGUUGGCCUGGCUGGGUAACCUGGUGCCAUGAACACAUUGAUUGGGGAAACAUAGGCAGCUAAUGUG
RNAcentral lists this long non-coding RNA (270 nucleotides) under Canis lupus familiaris (dog). RNAcentral describes it as "lncRNA (ENSCAFG00030016551.1)". The record is from RNAcentral. Lineage: Eukaryota; Metazoa; Chordata; Mammalia; Carnivora; Canidae.